This is a long non-coding RNA of Cyprinus carpio (common carp), 1636 nucleotides long. NCBI's taxonomy places the organism in Eukaryota, Metazoa, Chordata, Actinopteri, Cypriniformes, Cyprinidae. The record is from Ensembl.
UUAGUAUACUUAUUUUAAACUAAAAAAUAGGAAAGUAUACUUUUAGUUUACUUUUUAUGUACUUCUCAGAAAUGGGCUUUAUGUACUUCUAAGAUAUAUACUUAUAAUGACAAUUAAGUAUACUUGACUUAUACUUACAAAAACUCAAAAUAUACUUGAACUUUACUUAAGUAUACUUAAUAAAAUAAACUUGAAGUAUACUACUUUUUGGUAAGGGGUGUCAUGCUGCGUGAAGUGUUUCAGGACCCAAUGUCAGAGAUCCAUCUCCUAUUCUACCAGUCGACACUGAUGAUAUUUACACAUUUCAACCUGCUCUUCCAGCGGAAAGACCCUUGUGUCUAUCUCCUUCAUGAACAAGUACAUAACACUUAUUGUUGCAUUUAGUUUGUUAUUUGUAGUUGCACUCUCAAAUAUAUUCAAAGUUAUUUGUCUACUAUACUAUUAACUUAACUAUUUUAGAGUUAUUUUAGCCCUGUGCCUUAAGUAAUUGUGCAAAUAGGGAUCAUUUUCAAGGGGGUAUAUUUUUUAGGGUAAUGUGUGGGAGUCCGUAUUUUCGAUAACCUAAGACUUUAACUUUUAUUUAUGCAUUCAAGAUCAGGUUUUUCAUCAAGAAACUCCUGUCCAAGUUUUUGAAACCAGGAGCUUUUAGAGGGGUCAAUGUGGACACAGGGAUGAGGAGAGCCAAUUGCCAGGUGAAUAUUAGGAGUAACAAAAACAAAGGUUUUAUAUAAAAUUUUCAUUGAAUGCAGGUCUUCUGUUACUCUAAGCACUAAAUUAUCCAUACAUACCUUUUGGAUUCUCAGCUUGAUGUUGGCUUCACAGCAAAGAUGACAUUAAACCGCCUUGUGGAAGCAGGUGAUAUCUCCAAGGACUCUGCUAAGCUAAGCUCCCUCUACAUGACCCUGUGCUGGAGCAUUCAAGAUUUGUUGACUUCAGACAAAAAAUGGAUACCAGCUUGGAUGAUGUGCUCUACUUUUUUCAUAGAUUCAACCAUCUCCUGCCCUACAACCAACCAAGGGAGCAGGACCAGCUGAAUGAUGAGUUCCUUGAGUAUCAAAUGAUGGAGGAGGAGGAUAUCCCAGCAUCCAUCUGCGGAGAAGCAGUCAUCCGGACAAACAAGGAUGGGGAGUACCACAGGAUGGACCAUCUAUGGGGAUACCUUGGAAGUCUGAAGAAUCGGGCAAGUGGCAUUUUAAAAUUCCCCAAAUUAUCAAAGGUUGCCCAGAUUGUUCUACCACACUCAAAUGCGGAUGCUGAGCGAACCUUUUCAGUUAUUGGCCUAAAAAAGAUUGACACUAGGAAUAGACUGUAACUUGAUGGCACCCUGUUAUCAAUCAUGACAAUGAAAAUGAGCAGCCUUGAACCCUGCUUCAGAUACGAACCUCCUGCAGAGGUAGUGAAGCAGGCCAAAACUGCCACUGUGGCAUACAACAGACCUAAUUUGUGAAUCUUGUGUGUUGUGGUUUUCUGGGCAAGUGGAGUAACUAUUAUGUGUCCCUUUUGUUUUGAUAUUUCUUAUUGUUCUGAUGUUGUUGUUUUACAUGUUAUUUAAUCACCUUUAUUUUGUUCACCUUUAUCUUUAUUUUUUUAUAGUGCAAUCAAUAAAUUAAUUGUACAUCUUGAAAAAGCGUUUCCA